RNAcentral lists this ribosomal RNA (526 nucleotides) under uncultured bacterium. Its description in RNAcentral is "bacterial SSU rRNA". It matches the Rfam family "Bacterial small subunit ribosomal RNA", at positions 778 to 1304 of the family's 1533-position model. The record is from RNAcentral.
AUAGAUACCCGGUAGUCCACGCCCUAAACGAUGCGAACUGGAUGUUGGGUACAUUACGGUACUCAGUGUCGAAGCUAACGCGUUAAGUUCGCCGCCUGGGGAGUACGGUCGCAAGACUGAAACUCAAAGGAAUUGACGGGGGCCCGCACAAGCGGUGGAGUAUGUGGUUUAAUUCGAUGCAACGCGAAGAACCUUACCUGGCCUGACAUCUGUCGAAUCCUGCAGAGAUGCGGGAGUGCCGCAAGGAACGACAAGACAGGUGCUGCAUGGCUGUCGUCAGCUCGUGUCGUGAGAUGUUGGGUUAAGUCCCGCAACGAGCGCAACCCUUGUCCUUAGUUGCCAGCACGUAAUGGUGGGAACUCUAAGGAGACUGCCGGUGACAAACCGGAGGAAGGUGGGGAUGACGUCAAGUCCUCAUGGCCCUUACGGCCAGGGCUACACACGUACUACAAUGGUCGGUACAGAGGGUUGCGAAGCCGCGAGGUGGAGCCAAUCCCAGAAAGCCGAUCCCAGUCCGGAUUGGAGU